CAAAUGCCCAUGCUCAGAAGACAGCGAAGAAGAGCACUUCAACCUGAGAGUAUACAUUGUCAAGAGAUGCAGAGAAAAGUGCCAGACCGUUCACACCCUGCCAAAUGGGAUUGAAGAUGCAGCUGUUAAGACAAUGAGUAUGUGCUGUUGCCUGAACCAUCCAUAAAGAGAACCUGUACACCCUUGAUAGGUGAGGAUAUACAGAUUGUUUCUUGAGUAUUUACUUGGGCACGAGUCACUUACAUGACCCCAAGGUAAUUUUGAUGUUUUUGCCACUAAUCUCAGUAAAUCAUUCAGUUACUGACCUAAGACUGUCUUCCCACAGAUUUCAUUGGAAAUGUCAUUAAGAUGCCAGAAGGGGGCAACCUUUCCUCUUUAUCUUGGCGGACACAAAACCCCAACGGUGCCGACUUUUUCCCAGGACAGACAACCAUGACGAGCCUCACAGCCUGAAAAUGUUGGAAGAGGGUCCCAUGCUGCAUAACGCACUGUCAGUCCUGAAAAGUUGGGGGAGAAAAUUGCUCCCUCAUUAAGGCUCACAGUAGUUAACCGCUUCCGCAAGACUCAACGCCAGACCUUUUAAAGAGCCCAACCGCCGGGAGAAGUGGCAACGGGAAGGCACUUGUGGCAGGGGAGUGUCUGUGUGGGCGAAAUUCCCUCCGUUUCUCGCCAACACCGGAAUUAACACUGCUCCGCUCUGAAGCUUAAAAGUGUUUCAGGCGCGUGAUAUUAACCCGCUUCCUAAACUGGCCGUUCCGGGGUCGUCAGAGCCACCGGGGGCCCCGCGUGCGCCUAGAACACGGACACCACCCCGGGCUCUGCGCCUCCGUCCUGGGUGAUAUCCAACGGCUCAUCUUUCUCAAAGAAGAGCAAGUCCAUCAGAAGGCUGUGAGCUGCGAAGAUUCGUGUUCUUUUUCUUCCCUCGCUGCCCAGGAUCAGUAUAAGGUAAUGGUGACCCAAGGUCCAGACGGGGAAAGGGCGUAGAACAGACUCAGCUCUGAAGUCACUAUCUUGUCAGUAGUAAAGCUAACACCUUCAUUUCCCUUCUGUAUCUUAUCUUGAGUUGGUUCUGAAGGUGGAAAGGGAAGAAAGCACGUUAUUUGUCACCCUCCCCCAACCCUUAUUCCCGGAAGGUCCUAAGACUCAUUUGUUCUCAAUGGACUAACAUCACACACAGAGCUGGGACAUUCGCUCUCACAGAUUAAUGGGCCCAUCCAUUUUCUUUUGUCU
RNAcentral lists this long non-coding RNA (1230 nucleotides) under Delphinapterus leucas (beluga whale). Its description in RNAcentral is "lncRNA (ENSDLEG00000021705.1)". Lineage: Eukaryota; Metazoa; Chordata; Mammalia; Artiodactyla; Monodontidae. The record is from RNAcentral.